UCCAAUGGUUCCUUGUCCAGCAAUUACAUAAGGAUCGUCAAAGGGAUGAAUAACUUCGAGAUUUUGCUCUUUAGCCAAACGUGCACAUUCUGCUUUAGCAAUGUCAAAAUUAGCUCCAUGUAAGAGAACAUUAGCGCCCAAUCUCUUAACGUUCCUCCAUUUGAUUUCAGGAGUAUUCUGAGGCAUAACAAUGGUAGCUUUUACACCAAGAGUCCUAGCGGAGUAAGCAACACCCUGGGCGUGAUUGCCAGCGGAACAAGCAAUGACUCCAUUUUUCAAUGACUGCUUAUCAAGAGAAGCCAUUUUAUUAUGAGCCCCUCGAAUUUUAAAUGAAAACACAGGAGUGAGAUCUUCACGUUUUAAGUAGACUGGAACACCGGUACUUUCAGAAAUGACAACACCCUUUGUAAGAGGAGU
This is a non-coding RNA of Schizosaccharomyces pombe (fission yeast), 417 nucleotides long. NCBI's taxonomy places the organism in Eukaryota, Fungi, Ascomycota, Schizosaccharomycetes, Schizosaccharomycetales, Schizosaccharomycetaceae. The record is from the annotation of a GenBank genome assembly.